Molecule: long non-coding RNA, 4362 nt
Organism: Callithrix jacchus (white-tufted-ear marmoset)
Lineage: Eukaryota; Metazoa; Chordata; Mammalia; Primates; Cebidae
Source: RefSeq, a predicted model, not a curated record
UGUGUGUGUAAUAUAUAUAUACUUAUAUAUGGCAUAUAAGUAUAUAUAUGUGUAUAUAUAUGGCAUAUAAAUAUAUAUAUGUAUUUAUACUGUGACAUGUGGUAGGCAUUUAGUAAAAAGUUGUUGAAUUCAAUUCAGCUCAUCACUGGGAUGAAGUGGAUGCACAAUAUAUAUUUCUUAUAUAUCUCAAUUGAUAUAUCUUAUAUAACAUAUAUAAGAAAGAUACAUCAUUAUAUAUAAGUGUGGCAGAUAUUAGGCUAAGUAUUUGGUCAAUGAGAUAUAAGUGGAAUUUGCUGGAUGGCAGGUCGGGGGCGGCUUUGUGUAAUAAUUUUGUGUCUUGAUAAGGUCGGAAUAUGGCUAGGACCAUCCCUGACUCUCUCUUUUUUCCUUGAAUGUGAACACAUGGGUGAAGCGUACAUCCAUUUUCUUUGGAGCAAGAAACAUGAGGAUGAAAAGCCAAAAGUUAAGGAUGUGGAGUGAAAGCCAGAAAGGGCUUCUUAUUCAUGUUAUCACUGAGCAGCUAAAGAGGAAACACAAAGCAUAUACAUUUGCUGGCAUUUUAAAUUACAGAAGAAAAUGCAACAGGAAGUAACUUCAGCUGGAAUGUGACUUGCAACCAGAUGUACUUACUGAACAGGGCAUACCUGGUGUGAGCUUGGGACACGUGAGUGGAACCUUCAAUGGUUAGCCACCUCUGCUGCCUUUCAGACUUAUGCUUUCUUUAGAGGCAAGUUCCUGGACCCUUGGAACUAUGGGAAUUUAAUGCUGAUGCCAGCAGAAAAAACACCACCCUUCCAGUUCCCUACAGCUACUGCCUGAUUCUCUUGAACUGCAGCAGAACUCUCCUCCUCUGCAAAUCCUGACCCCGCUGAGUGUGUGAGCUCUGGCAGAGUAUCCAGGGUAAAUUGGCACACACUCCCUCCUGUCUGUUUGGGUGACUCACUGUGUUCAGAGCACAUUUUCCCUUCAUUGACUGCCAGCUAUAGCUAUUGGCUCACUCAUUCUCUUUGGAACAACUCAGCACUCCUGUGCUAAUGCAGUUGCUUGAACUGAUGUACAAUUGUGUGGAGUCCUGCAGAAAAACAUAAAACUCUGCUGAAGGCUGAGACCUGUCUCAUUUACCAGGACAUCAGACAAAGAUGCUUAUCUUUGUCUACUUGUUGCUAACAUACUCAUCUUAUCUGUGGCCCUCUUAUUGCUUUCCAGCGUAUAGAAACCUCACAAACUGCAAAGACUCAAAAGUGCCAGUGGUCAGGAUAUCAAAGACGAAUGUGUUUCCUUUUAUCUGUAUCUUAAGAUGAGAAACUAAAGGCUUGCAUAUGUGGAAAUAUAGGCAAUUUCUCUCCCUUUCCUGCUAUUCUCAGCACUUGUGUAGUUUGGAGUGUAUUAGCUGAGCCUUGUAUAUAGACAUAGAUUUCACGUAAGUUAACUAUCUUCCUAUAUAAGCCACUACCUUCAUUAAAAGCAGGGAACCAUUCUCUUUUGUGUCUACUCCAGAGCCUGGUUAUAGGUUGAGUUCAAUGCAUCCUUAGAAAGGCUUGUUGAAAAACUGAAUGGGGCAAACUCUCAUAGAAAAGCAGAGAGUGUUGAAGGAAGGGCUAUUUUGCCAGUCAUCUUAAUUUUUUCCACACAAUUUCUGCACAUCAAAAGAAGUCUUCAGUUAUUCUUGGAGAGAAAAAAUGCAUAAUAAAUCAGUCUGCAGUAACCUAAUUUCACCUCAUGGGUUAGACAAAUAGCCAGAAUUGAGUUUUAAAGAAAAAGUGUCUGUGAGAAUCUGGGCACACGACGGAGGCUGGGUAUUUUAUGUGAAUUUGUCCAUGUGCGAUGAAUGUCUUAAUUUUUCCAGUUAAAAUGGUUAAGCUCUUGGACUCUGGAGUUAGAGAUUUGAAAUGGAUUUCUGUCUAGGCCACAUAUAAAUGGAGUGAAUAUGUGUGACACCACUUAACCGCUUUAAGCCUCAGGUGCUUCACAUAUCAAGCAUAUGUAAUAGAAAUCCCUCAUGGAGUUGUGGUUAGAGUUAAAUGAGACAAUUGAUGUCAUGUGCUUAGCCAGAUAACUAAUAUAUAGUAAUUAAUAAAUGACAGUUAUUAUUACUAAUGGUGUUUGAUUACAUGUGGACAUUGAGGGAUGGGGCAAUUGAGACUUACAUUCAUAUAUUAAUUUGUUUCUAAUAUUGACCUGAAUUUCUAUGUAGUUCACUGUGAGAAAAAAAGAAAAAAACAUCACCUCUCAUGAAAAAAGCAAAGCUAAAUAUCAAUGUCACUAAUCAUCAGGAAAAUGCAAAUCGUAAUCAUAAUGAGAUAUUAGCUUCCUCUUGUCAGGAUGACUAUUGUUUUAAGAAACAUACAAAAUAUCAGAAGUGUUGUUGAGGAUGUGGAGAAAUUGGAACUUUUGUACAGUGUUAAUGGGAAUGCACAGUGGUGCAGCCACUAUGGAAAAUAGUGUGGAAAUACAAAAACUAGAACUGCUGUAUGAUCCAGUGAUCUCAUUUCUGGGUAUUUAUCCAAAAGAAUUAAAACUAGAAUUUCAAAGAGAUAUUAGCACUCCUGUGUUCACUGAAGCACCAUUCACAGUAGCCAAGAUGUGGAAACAAUCCAAAAGUUUGCUGACAAGUGAAUAGAUAAAGAAAAUGUGAUAUAUAUGCAGAACAUAAUACCAUUCAGCCUUUAAAAAGAAGGAAAUUCUUUAAUAUGCAGUAACGUACACGAACCUUGAGAACAGGUAGCACAAUAAACCAACCACUGAAAGACAAAGGCUGCAUGAUUCCAUUCAUGUGACAUAUCUAAAAUAGUCAAAUUCAUAGUCAAAGAAAGCCAUGGUGUUACCAGGUACCGGUGGCAGGGGUAAAUAGGGAAUUACUAAUUACUAGGCAUAAAGCUUUGGGCAAGCAAGAUGAAUCUGGAGAUCUGCUGCACAAUGUUGCACCUAUCAUCAACAAUAUACUGUAUGCUUAAAAAUGUGCUGAGGGUAGAUAUUAUAUUAAAUAUUCUUACCACUUUAAUAAUUGUCUAAAACCUUAAAUUAAAAUUAAAUAGAAGUAUUCGGUACACUCUCAUUGGCCUAUUGUUAAUGCUUCACCUUGUGGAAAGUUGGCAACAUGAGAGUUUUAUGGAAAGAGAAUCGUUCCAUCACUUUUAUUUCCAAAUAUGUAACUGACUCUUUCAAAGGUUGAAUGUCAAGCUUAUGUAACUGCAUGGAAUUACUCGAUGAUUUGAGUGAUUCCAAUUCAUCAUGACAUCUUGGAUCCAGAAGCCGUUUCUGAAGCCAUCCCAAAUAGAUAAAGAUCAUCUACUGUCAAUAGAACUGGGAUUUCAGUAAGAAAAAUUGGCAGAAGAUGCAUUUUUCAUGUACUUCCGUAGUUUUUGAGGGUUGUUCCAUACUGAGCUAUGAGAGUAUUGAUUUUACCCCAAUGGCUUCCAUAUUAGAAAAGAUGUAAGAAAUAUACUUACUAAUUGCAUAUUUUAAGUCUUCAAGAUAUAUCUAGGACAAAGCAAUAUUACAGCAAGAAGCUUUGAACUUUCUGGAAAAAUCAAAUUUUAUUUUUCCAAUUGAGAUAUCACAAAUAAUAUUGAACAUGUCUUAAACAACUUCAAAUCAAAGAUAAUACAUUUAAGACAAUAAUAAAAUUGUCCACGAUACCCUUUGGGAAUAAUCUUGGAGAAAACUAUUCUUCAUUAAAAAUGGAUAUUGCUGAACAAAACAAAUAUAAUGCAGAGGCACUUGCUUACUUUACAUUGAUCAGUGAACUCUAUUUGACCUUCACUUUAAGGACACAUAGCAGGAAAGCUGUCUGGAAUACCCCACCCUAAACAGUGGAUGAAUUUGUUACAUCUCUGAGUAAAGAAUGCCUGAGCAUCACUACUUGAUAGAGGAGGAAAAACAAAAAUAGUUCAAGCCGUUUUUAUUCAGGAAAAGUUCAAUUUUUAGGUUCAUCCUCAAAACACUGAAGUUGAAGAGACUUGGAGCUCGCUGACUUAGUGGUAUAUUUCAGUUAUGAAUAAUAAGAGAUGAAGCAUUUGUUACUAUUGUAAAAACCUGAUAAGCUCUAUUCCACAGUGACUCAAAACUCUGCUGAGUUAAUACUUUUGGAACAAGACUGAUCUUGGCUUGAAAUUACACUGAAUCAAGUGGACACUUUUUAGACCUUAUCUUACUUGACUGCUCUGCACACUUUGACAUUGUUGGCUGAACUCUUCUCUGUGAAACUCUUCAGCUGAGCUGAACUCUUCCUUGGCAUCUGAGAUUCCUCACUCUCAAAGAGGUUCUCCACUCUACCUUGUGAUGACUUGUGACCAAUCUCUUAAAAGUUGGUCUUGCUGAGAUUUUGUUGUGAUCUUGUUAGAAUUAAACACUAAACACAUA